GGCCGGAUGGUCUAGCUUGGUAUGGCCCUGGUUUUGGGAAUCAGUGAUCCCGUGUUCAAAAAAAUUUCAGAUGCGCUCUGAAUUGAUGGAAAUCACGGUCCGGCCACCA
This 109-nucleotide transfer RNA is filed under the name Candidatus Heimdallarchaeota archaeon. RNAcentral's name for it is "tRNA-Pro". The record is from RNAcentral. Lineage: Archaea; Promethearchaeati; Candidatus Heimdallarchaeota.